UACAGUUGCUGCCAUGGAAACCAACGCAGUCAAUGUAGCUUCAUCCCUGACGCGUGUGGCACCACUUAGAGCUAUCCAUUUGGCGACGGAUAGUGAGAGGCAGCAGAGAGAAGGAUGCGGAAAACGUUGAGUAAUAAGAUCGCUUUCUCGCCACUAAAUAUAGCUCUUACAAGAAUUGAGAAGGCUUUGCGGGUUCUAGGGGACGUCGCCUUGACUGAUUAGGGCAAGGUACGAUGUUCACCCACUUCACAUAUCCCCGUUUUUGGAGGAUAGGAUGAAACUCUGCCAGUAGAUAAUACAGACAUCUGCCAUGAGGACUACAUUCCCUUUAUUUGGACUUCUUAGUUUCCAGCCUUAAAUUCCUGAGUAGCUCCACGACGAGGAGUGUGUGUGGUUUAUAACGAGUAGUGCUAAGAAUAUUCCAAAGAGGCAACACACCGGCAUAUUAUUACAAGAAGUUACAACAAAGAGGAAGCCAUCUUUUGACGUCACCGUGCUUCAAGGUCAGGAGAGAUCAUAAUAAUCUACAGAAUUACUCCAUUUACUACCAACAUACCUCGAGGAAUGGCUCAAAGAGACAUUUUAUUCGUUAUUUUACCAGAAGAGAACGCAGCUCAACUUACAGAAAACAUUUCAAGACGUGAUGUUCCAGUUUAAUUUAGUGUAGUGAUACUUGGAUAAACUUUAGUUUUCUCCAACCGGAACGACAGUAGAUUGCGGAUGGAACAACAGGAAGUUUGUGAUACGUCUA
Limulus polyphemus (Atlantic horseshoe crab) is the source of this 751-nucleotide long non-coding RNA. RefSeq lists it as uncharacterized. The record is from RefSeq and is a predicted model, not a curated record. The transcript is spliced from 3 exons. NCBI's taxonomy places the organism in Eukaryota, Metazoa, Arthropoda, Merostomata, Xiphosura, Limulidae.